Molecule: small RNA, 29 nt
Filed under: Bombyx mori (domestic silkworm)
Lineage: Eukaryota; Metazoa; Arthropoda; Insecta; Lepidoptera; Bombycidae
Description: piRNA piR-bmo-2220965
Source: RNAcentral
UAUCUAGAUAAUAUUUCAAGCUGGACUGC